Molecule: transfer RNA, 62 nt
Filed under: Bactrocera minax (Chinese citrus fly)
Lineage: Eukaryota; Metazoa; Arthropoda; Insecta; Diptera; Tephritidae
Also listed under: 1 other name
Description: tRNA-Cys
Source: RNAcentral
GGCCUUGUAGUCAACGAUGAUAUUAGACUGCAAUUCUAAAGGUGUAAUAAUUACUAAGGCUU